GAUGAACGCUGGCGGCGUGCCUAAUACAUGCAAGUCGAGCGAACAGACGAGGAGCUUGCUCCUUUGACGUUAGCGGCGGACGGGUGAGUAACACGUGGGUAACCUACCUAUAAGACUGGGAUAACUUCGGGAAACCGGAGCUAAUACCGGAUAAUAUUUCGAACCGCAUGGUUCGAUAGUGAAAGAUGGCUUUGCUAUCACUUAUAGAUGGACCUGCGCCGUAUUAGCUAGUUGGUAAGGUAACGGCUUACCAAGGCAACGAUACGUAGCCGACCUGAGAGGGUGAUCGGCCACACUGGAACUGAGACACGGUCCAGACUCCUACGGGAGGCAGCAGUAGGGAAUCUUCCGCAAAGGGCGAAAGCCUGACGGAGCAACGCCGCGUGAGUGAUGAAGGUCUUCGGAUCGUAAAACUCUGUUAUUAGGGAAGAACAAACGUGUAAGUAACUGUGCACGUCUUGAAGGUACCUAAUCAGAAAGCCACGGCUAACUACGUG
RNAcentral lists this ribosomal RNA (497 nucleotides) under uncultured bacterium. RNAcentral's name for it is "partial 16S ribosomal RNA". It matches the Rfam family "Bacterial small subunit ribosomal RNA", at positions 28 to 507 of the family's 1533-position model. The record is from RNAcentral.